GGCCUGGCUGCUCGGUCCGCCUAACCGCGUGCACUGAUGCGGCCGGGCCUUUCCUUCUGGCUAACCUCAUGUCCUUCACUGGGUGUGCAGGGGAUCCAGGACUUUUACUUUGAAAAAAUUAGAGUGUUUAAAGCAGGCUCGCGCUUGAAUACAUUAGCAUGGAAUAAUGAAAUAGGACGU
This 180-nucleotide ribosomal RNA is filed under the name uncultured Glomeromycotina. RNAcentral describes it as "partial small subunit ribosomal RNA". The stretch from base 91 to 180 matches the Rfam family "Eukaryotic small subunit ribosomal RNA", at positions 738 to 830 of the family's 1831-position model. The record is from RNAcentral. Lineage: Eukaryota; Fungi; Glomeromycota.